Molecule: ribosomal RNA, 216 nt
Filed under: uncultured eukaryote
Lineage: Eukaryota
Description: partial 18S ribosomal RNA
Rfam family: Eukaryotic small subunit ribosomal RNA
Source: RNAcentral
UGGUGGAGUGAUUUGUCUGGUUAAUUCCGUUAACGAACGAGACCUCAGCCUGCUAACUAGUUGGCUUAAAACCCUAAAGCCGGCCGUCUGCCUCACUCUGGAUGGGGAUGCAGCAAUGCGUUCCUGUCUGGGGAGGGGUGGUUGGCCGGAAAACUUAGGCUAACUUCUUAGAGGGACUGUCGGUGUUUAGCCGUACGGAAGUUUGAGGCAAUAACA